Molecule: RNA transcript, 3415 nt
Organism: Pongo pygmaeus (Bornean orangutan)
Lineage: Eukaryota; Metazoa; Chordata; Mammalia; Primates; Hominidae
Gene: C4H5orf46
Gene name: chromosome 4 C5orf46 homolog
Exons: 5
Source: RefSeq, a predicted model, not a curated record
UUUAUCUGCACGAAUACCCCGUGCUACCAGAAUGGCUGUCUCAGUACUUCGCCUGACAGUUGUCCUGGGACUGCUUGUCUUAAUCCUGACCUGCUAUGCAGACGACAAACCAGACAGGCCAGACGACAAGCCAGACGACUCGGGCAAAGACCCAAAGCCAGACUUCCCUAAAUUCCUAAGCCUCCUGGGCACAGAGAUCAUUGAGAAUGCAGUCGAGUUCAUCCUCCGCUCCAUGUCCAGGAGCACAGGAUUUAUGGAAUUUGAUGAUAAUGAAGGAAAACAUUCAUCAAAGUGACAUCCUCAGCCAGAAGAGGUCUGCAUGCAGCACAAAGAAUUUUAAUAAUACAGCUAGCUCACAGUCUUGAUGCAGAAGAUAUGCAUGCAUAACCAACUAAACAUAUUCAGCAUGGUACAGCAUAACAGAGGCACGGACAUGGGAACUUGGGAACCAGCACAAAGAACCAUUCAUGCUCCCUCGGAAAUCUGGAAAGAUUUCUCUGAUGUAAUAAUCUUUGAUCCAUGACUUGAUGGAUGAUAAAGGAUUUGAAGACAUGGAGAAGGAGAAGGAAGGGCAUUUCAACCACAGAAGAAAGCUUACACCGAAACUCAGACUAUGGCAAUGCUUGACAUUCAAGGAUAGCCUUAUAAUCCUUCAAACUUACCUACCUUUUUAAGAAACAGAUUUCAUUAGGAUACCUUCCAUGCUUGGUCCUGCAUAAACGUUACCUCAUUGAAUCCUCAUACUUAGUACAAAAAUUAGAUAUGAUUAUUCCCUUUUGAAAUGAUGCAAUUGAGAAUCUGACAAGAUCACCCCGCUGAGUAACGCUGGAGCCAAACUUGAACAAAAGUCUGUGUGACUGAUUUCCUUUUGUAUUUAUUUUGAGAGUGAGAGGAAUUACUUUCUUUUUAAAAAAAAUUAAUUUUAUUUUAUGUUCUGGGAUACAUGUGCAGGACAUGCAGGUUUGUUACAUAGAUAAACGUGUGCCAUGGUGGUUUGCUGUAUCUAUCAACCCAUUACCUAGGUGAGAGGAAUUACUUUUUAAUGUGUACUAAUAGACAAAAUGUUUUCUUCAAAAUUUAGAUCCAAAAAUUAUUAAAGUGGCAUAUGUUACCAUGUGAGAGGGAAAAAUGAGGGGAAUAUGGAAAUGUGUAUAUACUUCUAAAAGUUAACAAUCUCCCACACUAAUCCCAUUAUUCCCAAACCAGCCAUAUCAGCAACCAAUAUUGAUGCUGUUGUCCCUGCCUGUUCAAACAUAUCCAAACAUAUUCACAUGUAGAGUGGGGUUUGGAUGAGUGCUUUACUCUGCAGCUUGACUGUCAUUGAAUAAUUUCUCAUGGCAUUUAGUUUAGGUAAAGAGAUAGAAAUCUUUAAAAAGCUAUUCAAUAUCUCAUUAUUUCCCCAUUGAUAGACUUUCAUAUUGCUUCUAUUUUUUCAGCUUUUCAAAGGAUUCUGCAAUAAACAAGCUUAUAUGUAUAAGCACAUGCACUAAUAUUUAUAUAUAAAUAUUUUUAUUUAAUGUUUUUAUAAAAGGUUUUCAAAAAUUGAAUUGCAAGAUCAAAGGGCAUUUUAAAAAAUGCUAAUGGACACUGUGAAAAAGCCUUCAAAAUGUAGCCACUCCCUUAUUGGCCCAAAUGGACACUUUAUGGACUCACAGCAUAUAAGUAAUUUUCUAAACUUAUAACUGAUGUACAAAAACUGCAUGCACUUAAAGUAUACACUUAAAGAAUUUAAACAUAUGUAUAUACUCCCAAAACCACACAAUUUAAAUACUGAACAACCUUGGAGCUCACAAAUAAAUGGGAGAUACAAAUAAUCAUCAAAUAAUCCUACAUAAACCUAUAAUUAUGUUUUGAGAGACUUGCUCGGGAAGGAAGGAAGAUGGUUCUCUUGGAAGCUGUCACAAAUGUGUAUCAACUGGGUGAGGGAAGGUUCCUAAGGAAGGGAGACAUGUGCUGAGAUCUCAAAAGAGAAAUAAUAAAGUGGUUGAAUAGGACAAAAUUCAUAAGGCAAUGAAGGAGAAGAGGCAUUUAUAGUUGAGUGAAUGGCAUUUGCAAAAGCCCUGUGCUAGGUAUACUGUGCUCUAGCCAUGAAGAAACGUCAAGGUGGCUGGAAAGCAAAUAAGAAGAAAGAAAGUAAGUCUUAUGGGACCUCAUAGGUUAUGGUUAGGAUUUUAUUCUUAAAUCCAAGAACAACGGAAAGCCACCAAAGGGUUUUGAGCAUUGGAAAACGUAUGAUCAUUGUUGCAUUUUAAAAAUAUCAGUUGGCUGUUGUUCAGGCUAGACGGAGGGGUCCAGAGUAAAGCAAGAAGCCAGCCAAAAGCUCUUGAGCAAGGAAGGGUCAAUGCAGACAGAACCAUGUGGAAGGAUUCAAGAGAAUAUUAAGACAUUAGGUUGUCAGGACAUAGUGAUUAGUUCAAUAUGACGUGUCAGGGAGAGGGAAGUAUCAGGAAUGACUUGUAGGAGUCUGACUAAUGCAAGUGGAUAUGGUUGCAUAUGCAGUGUUGCCACUCAGGUAUAUGGAGAACAUUGGACACAAAAUUUCCCAAGGCUUUUCUGGGCUCUUAGGAUAAAUACAGGGCCAUGACCAUGACACCUAAUGCAUGGUUUGACCUUGGCUUGUGUCCCUGUGCUUCUGCUGCCACCUGUGCACUGAAACACAGGUGAUGUUUCAGUUCUUUGAAGAAGCCAAGUUCUCCUUAUCCUCAGGAUAUUCAUGCACUUAGUACCUUCCACACAGAAUAUUAUUUGGUUAAGAUGGGUUCUUCCAACCUCAAGUCCCAACUUGGCAUGUCCAUAGAAAUGACCUAAAAUAAACAGGUAAUCUCUUAUCACUAUGACCUUUCUUAGGAUCCUAUUCUUUUCCUUUAUUGUUAUUAUCAUAACUUAUAAUUAUCCUUUUACCUAUGUUUAUUUGUGUGGUUUCUAUCUCUCCCUUCACACUGUAAAAUCUAUGGAGAUAUGGGACAUGACAAUUUAUUACUGUAUGCUUCCUGUCCAGCAAAGAUCCUGCAACCAAUAUUCAAUAAUUAUUUGCUGAAUCGAAAAUAUAUGGAGGAAACAAUAAAUGACCAAUAGCUGUCACUGUUAUUAUGGUCAUUGUCAGUAUCAGAAAUCAAGUUCUCAUUUGAUAAUGAGACAGUUAAGGACAGAACAAAGAAUGCACCAUUUAACAAUGCUUGAAAUGAAGUCAGAGGUAGUUACUAGAAAGGGGGGAGCAUCAGGUAGUUGCCAUUUAGUUGUGAAUCACCAGUGAAAAAUUUAAUGCGAUAGAAGGUGCUGAUAUUCCUUAUUAUCUACCUUGCAUAUAUACACAAAUGUUUUCCUUGAUUUGGCUAAUAACCUAUGAGCGCCCUCUUCUGUCUUUAAUCUGCCUCAAUAGCCUGCGAGCUCUUCAUCUGGUUGCUUUCUAAAAUAA